Molecule: ribosomal RNA, 449 nt
Filed under: uncultured bacterium
Lineage: Bacteria
Description: partial 16S ribosomal RNA
Rfam family: Bacterial small subunit ribosomal RNA
Source: RNAcentral
AAUGAACGCUGGCGGCAGGCCUAACCCAUGCAAGUCGAACGGGUCCUUCGGGAUUAGUGGCGGACGGGUGAGUAACGCGUGGGAACAUACCCAAAGGUACGGAAUAGCCUCGGGAAACUGGGAGUAAUACCGUAUGUGCUCGAAAGAGGAAAGUUUUAUCGCCUUUGGAUUGGCCCGCGUGGGAUUAGGUAGUUGGUGGGGUAAUGGCCUACCAAGCCGACGAUCCAUAGCUGGGUUGAGAGGAUGAUCAGCCACACUGGGACUGAGAGACGGGCCAGCCUCCUACGGGAGGCAGCAGUGGGGAAUAUUAGACAAUGGGGGAAACCCUGAUCUAGCCAUGCCGCCUGAUCGAUGAAGGCCUUAGGGUUGUAAAGAUCUUUCAGGUGGGAAGAUAAUGACUGUACCACCAGAAGAAGCCCCGGCUAACUCCGUGCCAGCCGCCGCCGUAA